ACUUCAUCUUUCCCAAGUUCAAAAUCGUCAAUAAUUUCAGGGGAAUCCACUUGAUCCACGAUUAUAUCAUCUUCAACGGUUCCGAUCAUGGUCAUCUUGAGAGAUGAUUUGAGGGGAAGCUGAGAGAGCAAAAGCGAAUCAUCGGCUAGUUUGGAUCCGACUUUGGGAUAAAGAAGCUUUUGGCGCUUGGGCAAGACGUUAGUAAGCUCGCAGAUUCGACGCUUGAGCUCAGCUACAGAGUCAUCGCCGCACACUCGUACAGUGUAUUCCUUUCCGCUCCAUUUCACCGUCAAUGUUAUCUCUUCCUCUGAAGGAGACGAGGUAGACGCUGAGGCAGCCAUUGUUGAGUUCACAACUCAGAAGAAGCUUUCUUUCUUUCUUG
RNAcentral lists this unclassified non-coding RNA (382 nucleotides) under Hevea brasiliensis (rubber tree). The record is from RNAcentral. Lineage: Eukaryota; Viridiplantae; Streptophyta; Magnoliopsida; Malpighiales; Euphorbiaceae.